This 407-nucleotide ribosomal RNA is filed under the name uncultured bacterium. RNAcentral's name for it is "partial 16S ribosomal RNA". It matches the Rfam family "Bacterial small subunit ribosomal RNA", at positions 30 to 526 of the family's 1533-position model. The record is from RNAcentral.
AUUGAACGCUGGCGGCAGGCCUAACACAUGCAAGUCGAGCGGAGCGGCGGACGGGUGAGUAAUGCCUAGGAAUCUGCCUGGAAGUGGGGGAUAACGUCCGGAAACGGGCGCUAAUACCGCAUACUAUCAGAUGAGCCUAGAUGGGAUUAGCGAGUAGGUGGGGUAAAGGCUCACCUAGGCGACGAGCCCUAGCUGGUCUGAGAGGAUGACCAGCCACACUGGAACUGAGACACGGUCCAGACUCCUACGGGAGGCAGCAGUGGGGAAUAUUGCACAAUUGGCGCAAGCCUGAUGCAGCCAUGCCGCGUGUAUGAAGAAGGCCUUCGGGUUGUAAAGUACUUUCCGCGGGGAGGCGUUACCCGCAGAAGAAGCACCGGCUAACUCCGUGCCAGCAGCCGCGGUAAUAC